GACGAACGCUGGCGGCGUGCUUAACACAUGCAAGUCGUACGGUAAGGCCCUUUCGGGGGUACACGAGUGGCGAACGGGUGCGUAACACGUGAGUAACCUGCCCACAACUUUGGGAUAACGCUAGGAAACUGGUGCUAAUACUGGAUAUGUGCUCCUGCUGCAUGGUGGGGGUUGGAAAGCUCCGGCGGUUGUGGAUGGACUCGCGGCCUAUCAGCUUGUUGGUGGGGUAGUGGCCUACCAAGGCGGCAACGGGUAGCCGGCCUGAGAGGGUGACCGGCCACAUUGGGACUGAGAUACGGCCCAGACGCCUACGGGAGGAAGCAGUGGGGAAUAUUGCACAAUGGGCGCAAGCCUGAUGCAGCAACGCCGCGUGCGGGAUGACGGCCUUCGGGUUGUAAACCGCUUUCAGCAGGGACGAAGCUUUUUGUGACGGUACCUGCAGAAGAAGCACCGGCUAACUACGUG
RNAcentral lists this ribosomal RNA (465 nucleotides) under uncultured bacterium. Its description in RNAcentral is "partial 16S ribosomal RNA". It matches the Rfam family "Bacterial small subunit ribosomal RNA", at positions 28 to 507 of the family's 1533-position model. The record is from RNAcentral.